Molecule: ribosomal RNA, 452 nt
Filed under: uncultured bacterium
Lineage: Bacteria
Description: bacterial SSU rRNA
Rfam family: Bacterial small subunit ribosomal RNA
Source: RNAcentral
GCCGAGUAGAGUGGCGCACGGGUGAGUAACACGUAGGUAAUUUGCCUUCGGGUGGGGAAUAACAGCCGGAAACGGCUGCUAAUACCGCAUAAUGCAGCGGCUCGACAUCGAGACAGUUGUUAAAGCGGGGGAUUCCGCAAGGAACCUCGCGCCUGAAGAGAAGCCUGCGGCAGAUUAGCUAGUUGGUAGGGUAAUGGCCUACCAAGGCAACGAUCUGUAACCGGCCUGAGAGGGCGGUCGGUCACACUGACACUGACAUACGGGACAGACUCCUACGGGAGGCAGCAGUCGGGAAUUUUGGGCAAUGGGCGAAAGCCUGACCCAGCAACGCCGCGUGAAGGAUGAAAUCCCUCGGGAUGUAAACUUCGCAAGAAUGGGAAGAAUAAGUAGAAGAUAAUACCUUCUAUGAUGACGGUACCAUUUGUAAGCUCCGGCUAACUCCGUGCCACAGC